GUCCCUAUAGUUUAACUGGAUAAAACCGCCGCCUCCUAAGCGGCUGCUCCCAGUUCGAGUCUGGGUGGGGACAUCA
Molecule: transfer RNA, 76 nt
Filed under: Lactobacillus sp.
Lineage: Bacteria; Bacillati; Bacillota; Bacilli; Lactobacillales; Lactobacillaceae
Description: tRNA-Arg
Rfam family: tRNA
About the family: Transfer RNA (tRNA) molecules are approximately 80 nucleotides in length. Their secondary structure includes four short double-helical elements and three loops (D, anti-codon, and T loops).
Source: RNAcentral